GUGGGGAAUUUUGGACAAUGGGCGCAAGCCUGAUCCAGCAAUGCCGCGUGCAGGAAGAAGGCCUUCGGGUUGUAAACUGCUUUUGUACGGAACGAAACGGUCCUGGCUAAUAUCCGGGGCUAAUGACGGUACCGUAAGAAUAAGCACCGGCUAACUACGUGCCAGCAGCCGCGGUAAUACGUAGGGUGCGAGCGUUAAUCGGAAUUACUGGGCGUAAAGCGUGCGCAGGCGGUGCUGUAAGACAGGCGUGAAAUCCCCGGGCUCAACCUGGGAACUGCAUUUGUGACUGCAAGGCUAGAGUACGGCAGAGGGGGAUGGAAUUCCGCGUGUAGCAGUGAAAUGCGUAGAUAUGCGGAGGAACACCAAUGGCGAAGGCAAUCCCCUGGGCCUGUACUGACGCUCAUGCACGAAAGCGUGGGGAGCAAACAGGAUUAGAAACCCCUGUAGUCC
This 450-nucleotide ribosomal RNA is filed under the name uncultured bacterium. RNAcentral describes it as "partial 16S ribosomal RNA". It matches the Rfam family "Bacterial small subunit ribosomal RNA", at positions 354 to 796 of the family's 1533-position model. The record is from RNAcentral.